Molecule: ribosomal RNA, 373 nt
Filed under: uncultured bacterium
Lineage: Bacteria
Description: bacterial SSU rRNA
Rfam family: Bacterial small subunit ribosomal RNA
Source: RNAcentral
ACGGAGGGGGCUAGCGUUGUCCGAAGUUACUGGGCGUAAAGCGCGCGUAGGCGGGUUGGUAAGUCCGCUGUGAAAGCCCGGAGCUUAACUCCGGAGGGUCGGUGGAUACUGCCAGUCUUGAAGGUGCUAGGGGGAGAUGGAAUUACCGGUGUAGCGGUGAAAUGCGUAGAUAUCGGUAGGAACACCAGUGGCGAAGGCGGUCUCCUGGGGCAUUCUUGACGCUGAGGCGCGAAAGCUGGGGGAGCAAACGGGAUUAGAUACCCCGGUAGUCCCAGCCCUAAACGAUGAAUACUAGGUGUCGGGGGUAUCGACCCCUCCGGUGCCGCCGCUAACGCAGUAAGUAUUCCGCCUGGGGAGUACGGCCGCAAGGUUG